Molecule: unclassified non-coding RNA, 342 nt
Filed under: soil metagenome
Description: partial contains 5.8S ribosomal RNA, internal transcribed spacer 2, and large subunit ribosomal RNA
Rfam family: 5.8S ribosomal RNA (bases 1-121)
Source: RNAcentral
GAUGAAGAACGUAGCGAAAUGCGAUAAGUAAUGCGAAUUGCAGAAUUUCCGUGAGUCAUCGAAUCUUUGAACGCACAUUGCGCCCACUGGUAUUCCGGUGGGCAUGCCUGUUCGAGCGUCAUUAUCCCCCCUCAAACCCCGUGUUUGGUGUUAGACCCAUGUUGUAUGAACAACUGGUCUCAAAGACAAUGACGGCGUCCGUGGGACCCUCGGUGCAACGAGCUUUUAGGAGCACGCGCCGAGUUUCAAGGACCCUCCGGGCCGGUCUCCUAUUUAUCAUCAAGGUUGACCUCGGAUCAGGUAGGAAUACCGCUGAACUUAAGCAUAUCAAUAAGCUGAGGA